This 253-nucleotide ribosomal RNA is filed under the name uncultured bacterium. RNAcentral's name for it is "partial 16S ribosomal RNA". It matches the Rfam family "Bacterial small subunit ribosomal RNA", at positions 524 to 776 of the family's 1533-position model. The record is from RNAcentral.
UACAGAGGUCUCAAGCGUUGUUCGGAUUUAUUGGGCGUAAAGGGUGCGUAGGUGGUAUGGUAAGUCGGAUGUGAAAUCCCGGGGCUCAACCCCGGAACUGCAUUCGAUACUGCUGAGCUAGAGUACUGGAGAGGAGAUUGGAAUUUACGGUGUAGCAGUGAAAUGCGUAGAUAUCGUAAGGAAGACCAGUGGCGAAGGCGGAUCUCUGGACAGUUACUGACACUGAGGCACGAAGGCCAGGGGAGCAAACGGG